GAUGAACGCUGGCGGCGUGCCUAAUACAUGCCAGUCGAGCGAACAGACGAGGAGCUUGCUCCUCUGACGUUAGCGGCGGACGGGUGAGUAACACGUGGAUAACCUACCUAUAAGACUGGGAUAACUUCGGGAAACCGGAGCUAAUACCGGAUAAUAUAUUGAACUGCAUGGUUCAAUAGUGAAAGACGGUUUUGCUGUCACUUAUAGAUGGAUCCGCGCCGCAUUAGCUAGUUGGUAAGGUAACGGCUUACCAAGGCAACGAUGCGUAGCCGACCUGAGAGGGUGAUCGGCCACACUGGAACUGAGACACGGUCCAGACUCCUACGGGAGGCAGCAGUAGGGAAUCUUCCGCAAUGGGCGAAAGCCUGACGGAGCAACGCCGCGUGAGUGAUGAAGGUCUUCGGAUCGUAAAACUCUGUUAUUAGGGAAGAACAAAUGUGUAAGUAACUAUGCACGUCUUGACGGUACCUAAUCAGAAAGCCACGGCUAACUACGUG
Molecule: ribosomal RNA, 497 nt
Filed under: uncultured bacterium
Lineage: Bacteria
Description: partial 16S ribosomal RNA
Rfam family: Bacterial small subunit ribosomal RNA
Source: RNAcentral